UAUUUAUUCUCACAGGUUAAUAGAAGGAUGUAUCCUGGAAACGUCAAGUCUGUUUUCCAAGAUCUUGUUAGGACAUUUCCCAGAAAUUUUGAGAUAGGUUUCUCUGUUGUGGGUGUAGCUCCAUGUUCCUACAAUUUUAAGCAGAGUGGCCCGAGAGGACAAUUCUCAUCCCACUGCACCUCUGUAGGUGUCUUUUCCAGGAUCCUUUAGCUGCAAUAUGAAACAAAUUGAAAUAGGUUGAACAUAAGCCAAAGUCUAGAAAUAUGAGAGUGUUUGGAUAAAUAUUCAUUAUGGCUGAAGUUUACUCCUAAUGGACCAAUGCAAAGACUAUGUACUAAUUAAGUGCAGGUUAAGUUCACUCAGGAGGCACCUAAGUGGUGAUCAGGCCCUCACUGUAGUCCGUACAUAGGGCUGAUUUUUAUACUGUCCAAACAUCAUUUGUCAGAGGGCUGACUUCUACAGAUUUUCUCCUUUUACAUCAUUCAUACUUUCAUUUCGUACAUUUUCCAGGUGGAGACGAAUAUGCUGUGUUGCUGAUGCAAUUGACUUUAUUAUUAUUCUUGGCACACAGCAGCUUAAUUGGUUUGAAGAAACAGUAGUUGCAGGGCCUGAUAAGUAGGAUGAUUGUCAUCAGGAGUCGUUUAGUGCUUUGCUAUCACAGAACAAACUCCCUGUGACUCACACUAAAAGGAGAAGGCCAGAUUUUCAUGUGGCAUACAGCAGAAGAAAAUGUUGCCUGUUGUGAAUGCGUGUGUCUUUUGUGUUUAAUUAAUUACUUUAAGAUUUUUCUUACCCACUGUAAGUUUUGUAUAAUCCAAUUCAGUCCAGCUUUGCAUUUGAAAUUCUUCUGUUAUGCCUCUCUGGACACUUUCUGUUUGACAUGUAUCUCUGUGAUGGGAAGAUUGGAACAGGACACCAAUCGCAAGCAAGCAGCUAUCCUCCCGCGUGUGCAUGGAGUCACAGGCCAGCAGCUGUCAGAUCAGCGACAGGACUCCCAAAGGGCUUUUGGGGACAGCAGAGAGCUUGUGAGUGUCCAGUCCUGGAUCCUGAGGAUUUGAGGAACUCGCUGACAUCUUUAUAACACCCCCUUCAUUCCUAGUUCCUACCUUGCUGUCACAAAAUGAGGUAAGCUAUUAACACCACAACCAGACUGUGGACUGCAGCCAUGUGUAUGCACAUGUACAGCUAGAAACAGCUCAGGUUCCCUUUUUUUUUUUUUUUUUUUCCCUUCUCCAAAACUGCCCAAACUCUUCCUAACUUCUUAAGAAAUUUAAGGGGAGGAGCUCGAAGCUCAUUGUAUGGAGGUGACUGAUUUCAUUAUGCCAGGCUUGCACUUUGCCCAUCCUCCUUUGGUUUUAGCCACAAGACCAAGUGCUGCUCUAGUGAAGCAGCAUGCCUGGUGCCUGGCUGACCCUCACCACAACAAGGUGCCCCACAUUGGGAUGGGACAGCAUGAAGGAGGAGUUACUUCACUGGUUUGUGGGCUCUCUGGGACAGGGAGGCAGCUGGAACCAUGGUGUGGGCUCAAAGCCACAAGACAAUAGUGAUAAAAAAAUGAAGAUGUGAGGCUCUCAUUUAUUUUUUACGUCACUUAUGCCCAUGGCAGUAGCUUUCAGGCACGACAGGGUGCUCAGUGCCACACAGGAGGCACAGAAAAGCCAGGAUCUUGCCAACCCUAAUGUGGAUGAAUAAUGUGGAUGACCCCUGGCCUCACCUCUCCACCCCAGAAGCUGUUACGUCCAUCAUCUAAAGAGCUCUGCAUCAGCCGCCGCUAUUUCUGCAGCUAUAACAGCUACCCCAAAGCAAGGCUGAAUAAAGCCAGGUCACUGUGAUCUAGUUUAAAACUG
This 1847-nucleotide long non-coding RNA is filed under the name Anas platyrhynchos platyrhynchos (common mallard). RNAcentral's name for it is "lncRNA (ENSAPLG00000017725.1)". Lineage: Eukaryota; Metazoa; Chordata; Aves; Anseriformes; Anatidae. The record is from RNAcentral.